AUCCAGCUGAUGAGUCUUAAACAGAACAAAACGUACGUCCUAGAU
Molecule: non-coding RNA, 45 nt
Organism: Schistosoma rodhaini
Lineage: Eukaryota; Metazoa; Platyhelminthes; Trematoda; Strigeidida; Schistosomatidae
Source: Rfam